UUUAUGGAGAGUUUGAUCCUGGCUCAGGAUGAACGCUGGCGGCGUGCCUAAUACAUGCAAGUCGAGCGAACGGACGAGAAGCUUGCUUCUCUGAUGUUAGCGGCGGACGGGUGAGUAACACGUGGAUAACCUACCUAUAAGACUGGGAUAACUUCGGGAAACCGUAG
RNAcentral lists this ribosomal RNA (167 nucleotides) under Staphylococcus aureus. RNAcentral's name for it is "partial 16S ribosomal RNA". It matches the Rfam family "Bacterial small subunit ribosomal RNA", at positions 1 to 162 of the family's 1533-position model. The record is from RNAcentral. Lineage: Bacteria; Bacillati; Bacillota; Bacilli; Caryophanales; Staphylococcaceae.